This is a long non-coding RNA of Mercenaria mercenaria, 725 nucleotides long. RefSeq lists it as uncharacterized. The record is from RefSeq and is a predicted model, not a curated record. Lineage: Eukaryota; Metazoa; Mollusca; Bivalvia; Venerida; Veneridae. The transcript is spliced from 3 exons.
UUGUGUAAUUCCAAUUUAACUAUAUGAUUAUUUUACAAGCAUUAUUUAGUUCGCAAUGUAGCGUUAUUUCUUUAUGUUAGCGGUCACAUCACACCGACAAGUGUAUAGGUCAUAGGUUGGCGUUCCAGCUCUAAGGAUGACCCCAGCUGGCCCCUUCAAACAUUAUUUCGGGUAUGAACAUGAUGAAGGAACACUAUGAUAGAUCCACAGACAUCCAACAGGUCAAUUGGAUUGCUUCAACACAUCAGAGAAUUCUACUUGCGACAAGUGAUUUAAAGUCAGUAACCGAAGCCGUUCAGCCACGGAUACCUCUAGUAUUUAUUUAACAUGGAUUCUGCGAUGUAGACUAUAAAAAGAUCCUUUGGAAGCAGAGAAUGCAAACAAUAAUAAUAAUAGCAGACUCGGUUGGAUUGAGUCUGUUCAUGAGAGGAUGCCUUCAUGCCUUUAAUCUAUGCAAUUUAAAACAACACGUGCGCCCCCUGGUGACAUAUUGAUACAUCCGGGUGAUAUGUUGAAGCUCUGUAUCUUAUUGCACGCGAAUCCAUGGAAAUUGUGGCAGACAUUAAUGUAAUAGUGAUACAAGCUCGACGAAGCGAGCGCUUUUACUGGCGCUGAAGGAUGACCAACACUGGACCGCAGAUGGAAGAAGAUGAGCCGACAUCUAAGGCAUUCCAAAUGUCUCCGCAGCAAGCCUACGGACAUAGAUACAGCGUUCAAAGAAGGAU